Molecule: long non-coding RNA, 2703 nt
Organism: Passer domesticus (house sparrow)
Lineage: Eukaryota; Metazoa; Chordata; Aves; Passeriformes; Passeridae
Exons: 3
Source: RefSeq, a predicted model, not a curated record
GGGAUGGUAAAACACAUCCUGGAGGGGCUUAAUGGUGCUGGAAAGUGAGGAAAGAUUCUACAGAAAUUGCCCUGUGGUUUGGAGGUGCAGGCUAACUUUAAACAAGGAAGCAGGAGCUCUGGAACAGCAGAUCAGUAGCUUCAGGCUCCUCUUUGAGCAGAGUGGCUGCGAGGGAGGAUGGAAAACUGCUCCUUUGGAUGUCUGAGGUUCCGAGGUGAAGCUCUCCUAACUACAUGCAAAGGGCUCUGAGAGCAAAGGGCUUCAGCAACAGCUCAGUCCAGGAGUCCAGCUGACCCUGGAGAAAUCAACAGAUGCAAGAGGCAGCAGCAAAUGCUUGCAGAAAAAGUGUUAGAGCAGAGCAAGCAUACAGAUAUUUCUCUAGGCCAACUUUGCCAUGGUAAGUGAGACCAAGUUGCCAUGUCCAGCUGAAGGUGACAAUGGGCCGGACAGAGUCACCAAAUGUUCUGUCUGCACUGGACUCUGCUGCUUGCUUGGGUGAAAGAAUGGAAGUAUCAAGAAAUGUGGGAUUUUUAAUCUCUUACUCAGGAGGUAGAAUCCCAAAUUCCUCUCUGGUCUAUAACAGAACAGAUACCAAAGAGGGAAAGUUUAUUUUAAAACAAGUCUCUUCCCUCAACUCCCAUUCAAACCAGAUGAUCAUCAAAAUACAAGCCCUGCAUUUGCACCUACCUGCUCAAACCUGGUUUGUUUUUUUUUUUUGUGUGUGUUUCAAAGGCAGAUGGAUUGCUUAGAAACAUUAUUUUUACUUCAGCAGGUGAUUACCCAAAUAAAUGCUACACCUAAUUAAAUGCUGGAAAAAGUAUUUAAGAUCAUUAGUGGUAACAAGACUGGCAGAAGGAAGGUAGCAUGUAGAAUAAAAAGAAUCUACUGCCCUCCCUCCCAGCCCUUCUGUGAAGAGACAAGCUGAAAAUGAAGAUUGUGAAAGGAGCUGGACCAGUAUCAACAGCAGUGUGACUUGCAGGAUUUCAAACCAAUGGCAAAAGCCAACAAACCAAAUGACUUAAUGGGAGCUGAUUUCCUUUUGUUCAGGGUCCAGGGCAGGAAGGGUUUUGCUGUGACUGGAAGUGCUCACUUCUUCUAUAGAACCAGGCUCUCUACAUGGAGAUUUAUUUUCUGGUUUGUUUAUUCCUGCUUUGCCCCGAGCUUGCUGAAAUCAGUGGAAUUAUUUAGCAAAAAGGUUCUGAGUAGAAACCAGAUGCCCAGGUCCUGGUGUUUGGAAGGGAAUAGCACCUCACUGCUCCAGUGGAUGAAAAACCGAGUCUUUCUGAAAAACAAGGUGCUUUGGGAGCAAACAAAUGCCUCAGGGUUUGAUUGAAUGUGGUUGAUUGUGGCCAUCCAGGCUGUGCUCACCUCCUGAGCACACCUGGAGCUGCUGCACUGCUCUUGCCCCUCUCAGCCCGACCCCAGGCAUGAAGGCAGUUUCUUUUAUUUAUUCAUUUUAUUUAUUUAUUUAUUUAUUUAUUUAGUUUUGGCUGUUUUGCCUGGGCUUUGCUGGGGCACAGCUUUGUUUGUACCUCUUCUGUCAGUGAUCCAAAACCUGUGUGUCUGUGACCGCCACUGGGGGAAGCUGCUCUCUCAAAGCUUGGUGUGAUCUGUCCUCUCUGUAAAGGUUUCCUUAAUUUUGUGUGCCUGGAAUUAGCAGUCUCAUGUGACUCCUCUGAGUUAUUUAGUUCUUCAGGAUCAAAGCUCUAUUCAAACAAAAAACGGUGCUGAGAUGAUUAUUUGAAACUUUUGAUAUUUAAUGGGGGCGAGGAUGUUUAUGUGCCAAAACAAGGCACUCUAGAAAGAAAAAAACUUAGAGCAGAAAAAAGGAUUUUUCUGCUGAAUGAUCAUGCAAAUCAUGUUGUGACUGACUAAUAUUUAAAUGGGAAAUAUUGUUGAUAAUUUAUUGGGCAGGCAAGAAUCUUUUUUAGCCCUGCCUGAAAGCCAGAAGGGAGUGAUGGACAGGGGGCUUGCAAGGGAAUGUGAUAUCCAGACAACAAAUACCAGCACUGCUUUUGACUACAGAUGAAGCAAAGUUGUUUAUAGCAAAUACCUCUGAGAAAAAAGUUUUUUGAGAAAGACUGGUAUUUUGGCUGUCAGAUCUGCUUCAGGUCUAGUGAUUACCAACAUCUUAGCUGCUUCAAUUCCCUGAUGAGCUGCCUUGAAAACAUGAGUUCUAUAAAUCACCUCACAACGCUGCACUACAAAGCCCUGGUGAUCAGCAAUGCAGUGACCACGUUUAUGGGAAGAAAAGACAUCAUUUCAGGGAAUUAUAUGAGAAUGUAUCAACUCCACACAUCUUGAUUGCAGACUCUGCAGGUAGCCAAGGUUUCUGUGGCUUACUCCUUGACCUUCACCUUUGCUUUCACAGACUGCAAACUUCUCAGAGAUGUGCAUGGUGUGAACUGCAUCUUAAUAGCUGGAGUGCCUGAUGGAGAGAUUCCCUUCCAUUCUUAAUUGGGAGGUGGCUGUGGCUGUGUCAUCCAGCUUCACAAAGAUCUGCUGCUCCCAACCUGCAGUUGCAUAGCAUCUCUGGGGAAAAUAGGACAAUUUGUAACAAUUAAAGUUGGCUUUAGAGUGCAUGUUUACAUUGGGAUCUAUAAAUAUUCCCACACUUCUAAUAGAUGUUAAGCUUUUCUAUUUUUGCUUUGCUUCCUAUUUUAUCUCACAUCUCUAUACUCUCUUUAGGCUGCAAUAAUUUUU